RNAcentral lists this ribosomal RNA (609 nucleotides) under Lodderomyces orthopsilosis. RNAcentral describes it as "LSU rRNA". It matches the Rfam family "Eukaryotic large subunit ribosomal RNA", at positions 44 to 664 of the family's 3401-position model. The record is from RNAcentral. Lineage: Eukaryota; Fungi; Ascomycota; Pichiomycetes; Serinales; Debaryomycetaceae.
AAAAAAGCGGAGGAAAAGAAACCAACAGGGAUUGCCUUAGUAGCGGCGAGUGAAGCGGCAAAAGCUCAAAUUUGAAAUCUGGCACUUUCAGUGUCCGAGUUGUAAUUUGAAGAAGGUAUCUUUGGGUCUGGCUCUUGUCUAUGUUUCUUGGAACAGAACGUCACAGAGGGUGAGAAUCCCGUGCGAUGAGAUGUCCCAGACCUAUGUAAAGUUCCUUCGAAGAGUCGAGUUGUUUGGGAAUGCAGCUCUAAGUGGGUGGUAAAUUCCAUCUAAAGCUAAAUAUUGGCGAGAGACCGAUAGCGAACAAGUACAGUGAUGGAAAGAUGAAAAGAACUUUGAAAAGAGAGUGAAAAAGUACGUGAAAUUGUUGAAAGGGAAGGGCUUGAGAUCAGACUUGGUAUUUUGUAUGUUACUCUCUCGGGGGUGGCCUCUACAGUUUACCGGGCCAGCAUCAGUUUGGGCGGUAGGACAAUUGCAAAGAAAUGUGGCACUGCCUCGGUAGUGUGUUAUAGUCUUUGUCGAUACUGCCAGCCUAGACUGAGGACUGCGGCUUCGGCCUAGGAUGUUGGCAUAAUGAUCUUAAGUCGCCCGUCUAGAAACACGGGACCA